Molecule: ribosomal RNA, 760 nt
Filed under: Streptomyces sp. CUA-762
Lineage: Bacteria; Bacillati; Actinomycetota; Actinomycetes; Kitasatosporales; Streptomycetaceae
Description: bacterial SSU rRNA
Rfam family: Bacterial small subunit ribosomal RNA
Source: RNAcentral
UAGUGGCGAACGGGUGAGUAACACGUGGGCAAUCUGCCCUGCACUCUGGGACAAGCCCUGGAAACGGGGUCUAAUACCGGAUACGACCACUGGGGGCAUCCCUGGUGGUGGAAAGCUCCGGCGGUGCAGGAUGAGCCCGCGGCCUAUCAGCUUGUUGGUGGGGUGAUGGCCUACCAAGGCGACGACGGGUAGCCGGCCUGAGAGGGCGACCGGCCACACUGGGACUGAGACACGGCCCAGACUCCUACGGGAGGCAGCAGUGGGGAAUAUUGCACAAUGGGCGAAAGCCUGAUGCAGCGACGCCGCGUGAGGGAUGACGGCCUUCGGGUUGUAAACCUCUUUCAGCAGGGAAGAAGCGUGAGUGACGGUACCUGCAGAAGAAGCGCCGGCUAACUACGUGCCAGCAGCCGCGGUAAUACGUAGGGCGCGAGCGUUGUCCGGAAUUAUUGGGCGUAAAGAGCUCGUAGGCGGCUUGUCGCGUCGGUUGUGAAAGCCCGGGGCUUAACCCCGGGUCUGCAGUCGAUACGGGCAGGCUAGAGUUCGGUAGGGGAGAUCGGAAUUCCUGGUGUAGCGGUGAAAUGCGCAGAUAUCAGGAGGAACACCGGUGGCGAAGGCGGAUCUCUGGGCCGAUACUGACGCUGAGGAGCGAAAGCGUGGGGAGCGAACAGGAUUAGAUACCCUGGUAGUCCACGCCGUAAACGUUGGGCACUAGGUGUGGGCGACAUUCCACGUCGUCCGUGCCGCAGCUAACGCAUUAAGU